This is a non-coding RNA of Podarcis lilfordi (Lilford's wall lizard), 69 nucleotides long. The record is from the annotation of a GenBank genome assembly. Lineage: Eukaryota; Metazoa; Chordata; Lepidosauria; Squamata; Lacertidae.
GCAUAGCUCAAUUGGUAGAGCGUAAGACUCUUAAUCUCAGGGUUGUGGGUUUGAGUCCCACAUUGGGCA